This 497-nucleotide ribosomal RNA is filed under the name uncultured bacterium. Its description in RNAcentral is "partial 16S ribosomal RNA". It matches the Rfam family "Bacterial small subunit ribosomal RNA", at positions 28 to 507 of the family's 1533-position model. The record is from RNAcentral.
GAUGAACGCUGGCGGCGUGCCUAAUACAUGCAAGUCGAGCGAACGGACGAGAAGCUUGCUUCUCUGAUGUUAGCGGCGGACGGGUGAGUAACACGUGGAUACCCUACCUAUAAGACUGGGAUAACUUCGGGAAACCGGAGCUAAUACCGGAUGAUAUUUUGAACCGCAUGGUUCAAAAGUGAAAGACGGUCUUGCUGUCACUUAUAGAUGGAUCCGCGCUGCAUUAGCUAGUUGGUAAGGUAACGGGUUACCAAGGCAACGAUGCAUAGCCGACCUGAGAGGGUGAUCGCCCACACUGGAACGGGAACACGGUCCAGAGUCCUACGGGAGGCAGCAGUAGGGAAUCUGCCGCAAUGGGCGAAAGCCUGACGGAGCAACGCCGCGUGAGUGAUGACGGUCUUCGGAUCGUAAAACUCUGUCAUUAGGGAAGAACAUAUGUGUAAGUAACUGUGCACAUCUUGACGGUACCUAAUCAGAAAGCCACGGCUAACUACGUG